RNAcentral lists this ribosomal RNA (254 nucleotides) under uncultured bacterium. RNAcentral describes it as "partial 16S ribosomal RNA". It matches the Rfam family "Bacterial small subunit ribosomal RNA", at positions 524 to 776 of the family's 1533-position model. The record is from RNAcentral.
UACGGGGGGAGCAAGCGUUGUUCGGAUUUACUGGGCGUAAAGAGCGCGUAGGCGGUCAGCACAAGUCAGUUGUGAAAUCUCCGGGCUUAACUCGGAAAGGUCAACUGAUACUGUGCGACUAGAGUGCGGAAGGGGCAACUGGAAUUCUCGGUGUAGCGGUGAAAUGCGUAGAUAUCAGGAGGAACACCGGUGGCGAAGGCGGUUCUCUGGGCAUGUCCUGACGCUGAGGAGCGAAAGUGUGGGGAGCGAACAGG